CGAAUGAGGAGAUUCAUCGUCAGGUUAUUCAGUAUUAAUGCAGGCUAUGAUGUGAUAAUAGAAUCUUUGUGGUCACUAGAUUAUACUUGCUUGUAUUAUUUUUGGUGGGUAUGUCGGCGUGCAAUUCUCCUGUAGUAGAACGUCGCAACCCGUUGGAUGUUUAUCUAUGGCGUGAAUGGUACCCUUUGAUAUUUUUUAUAUUAAAGACCUUCGAUGUCCUGAUAAACUGUUUGAAAUGUAUACAUAUGGUAGUGACCCGCAAUUAUUUGCGUUAGACUUACCGCAAGUAUGACUUUAUUCUAGUAGUCCGGAUCUAAUGCCGUCGCUGGACAAAGUCUGCUGUUAG
RNAcentral lists this ribosomal RNA (346 nucleotides) under Cotesia sp. HD-284. Its description in RNAcentral is "partial 28S ribosomal RNA". Lineage: Eukaryota; Metazoa; Arthropoda; Insecta; Hymenoptera; Braconidae. The record is from RNAcentral.